Molecule: ribosomal RNA, 420 nt
Filed under: Acanthamoeba sp.
Lineage: Eukaryota; Discosea; Longamoebia; Acanthamoebidae
Description: SSU rRNA
Rfam family: Eukaryotic small subunit ribosomal RNA
Source: RNAcentral
GCACAUUCAAUUUUCUGCCACCGAAUACAUUAGCAUGGGAUAAUGGAAUAGGACCCUGUCCUCCUAUUUUCAGUUGGUUUUGGCAGCGCGAGGACUAUUAUAAUGAUUAAUAGGGAUAGUUGCCGGCAUUAAUAUUUAAUUGUCAGAGGUGAAAUUCUUGGAUUUAUGAAAGAUUAACUUCUGCGAAAGCAUCUGCCAAGGAUGUUUUCAUUAAUCAAGAACGAAAGUUAGGGGAUCGAAGACGAUACAAAACACCACCAUCGGCGCGGUCGUCCUUGGCGCGUUCGUGUUCACGCACGGGCGCGCGAGGGCGGGUUAGCCCGAUGGCACCGGUGAAUGACUCCCUAACAGCUUGUGAUACCGUCGUAGUCUUAACCAUAAACGAUGCCGACCAGCGAUUAGGAUACGUUGAAUACAAAA